Molecule: ribosomal RNA, 301 nt
Filed under: uncultured bacterium
Lineage: Bacteria
Description: partial 16S ribosomal RNA
Rfam family: Bacterial small subunit ribosomal RNA
Source: RNAcentral
CAGUAGCCACGGUAAUACGUAGGUGGCCAGCGUUGUCCGGAAUUAUUUGGCGUAAAGGGCUCGCAGGCGGUUUCUUAAGUCUGAUGUGAAAGCCCCCGGCUCAACCGGGGAGGGUCAUUGGAAACUGGGAAACUUGAGUGCAGAAGAGGAGAGUGGAAUUCCACGUGUAGCGGUGAAAUGCGUAGAGAUGUGGAGGAACACCAGUGGCGAAGGCGACUCUCUGGUCUGUAACUGACGCUGAGGAGCGAAAGCGUGGGGGGCGAACAGGAUUAGAUACCCCUGUAGUCCCUGUCUCUUAUAC